GGGUGAGUAAUGCCUGGGAAAUUGCCCUGAUGUGGGGGAUAACCAUUGGAAACGAUGGCUAAUACCGCAUAAUAGCUUCGGCUCAAAGAGGGGGACCUUCGGGCCUCUCGCGUCAGGAUAUGCCCAGGUGGGAUUAGCUAGUUGGUGAGGUAAGGGCUCACCAAGGCGACGAUCCCUAGCUGGUCUGAGAGGAUGAUCAGCCACACUGGAACUGAGACACGGUCCAGACUCCUACGGGAGGCAGCAGUGGGGAAUAUUGCACAAUGGGCGCAAGCCUGAUGCAGCCAUGCCGCGUGUAUGAAGAAGGCCUUCGGGUUGUAAAGUACUUUCAGCAGUGAGGAAGGCGGGUACGUUAAUAGCGUGCUUGUUUGACGUUAGCUGCAGAAGAAGCACCGGCUAACUCCGUGCCAGCAGCCGCGGUAAUACGGAGGGUGCGAGCGUUAAUCGGAAUUACUGGGCGUAAAGCGCAUGCAGGUGGUUUGUUAAGUCAGAUGUGAAAG
Molecule: ribosomal RNA, 500 nt
Filed under: Vibrio sinaloensis
Lineage: Bacteria; Pseudomonadati; Pseudomonadota; Gammaproteobacteria; Vibrionales; Vibrionaceae
Description: bacterial SSU rRNA
Rfam family: Bacterial small subunit ribosomal RNA
Source: RNAcentral